RNAcentral lists this long non-coding RNA (1276 nucleotides) under Homo sapiens (human). RNAcentral's name for it is "long intergenic non-protein coding RNA 1446". Lineage: Eukaryota; Metazoa; Chordata; Mammalia; Primates; Hominidae. The record is from RNAcentral.
GGCCGACAGAAGAUGGCGGAUGAGCAGCGUGCAGGGUUUUCUCCCUGUGGCUCACUCUCUCUUACUGUGCUGGGCGGUUGCUUCCUCUCCUGCUGCCCUUGGGAGUCAGACUCCAGGUUCUUCAGCCUGUGGCCCCUGGGGCUCUCGGGCCUUGGAGGACUGACUAGGAGCACACGGUGGGCCUCUCUGGUUUGGGGGCCUGGGACGUGGCGGAGCCCUGCAGCUUCUGUGCGGCCUGUUCUGGGCGUCGCGUUGAAACGCCAGCCAGUUCCCCAAUCCCCCUGGGAUUACAGGAGUGUUGAAGAAAUGUUGUGACACAUCAGAACACCGCGAAAUACAUGGACACUUUCAAAUCAUGGAAGACUCAAGCCCACCAGGUAUUUUUGAAAAAAGUACUCUGUGAAAAACAGAAACUGCAAGCAAGACAGAUACCAGGAUUAGGGAUCACGGUGACUUCUACCAUCGCUGGAUACUCCCAAAAGGGUUCUCGAGACAGCAGCUGUGUCUGCCCUGCUUUGGCAUUCUUUCCCAGGCAUGGCGACCAAGAAACUUUAAUUAGAAGGAAACAGGAAUAUUCAACGGACUCCCAAGACAAGAAUAUAGAUGUAUAUCAGAAGCUGAGCAUUGAAGUUGCUACUAGAGUCUCCCCGAGCCCUUAUUGGAUUCUCACUUCAGGAGCUGCUUUCAUUAUUUUGCCUCUCAGUUUCAAAAUAGACAAAGAACUCAACACUCAACAAUAAGAAAAUGAACAACUUGGUUGAAAAAUGGGCCAAAGACCUUAACAGACACCUCACCAAAGAUGAUAGACAGGUAGGAAAUAAACAUAUAAAAAGAUGCUGCACGUCAGAUGUCAUCAGAAAAGUGCAAUUAAAACAACAAUGAGACACCACUAUGCAUCUCCUAGAAUGACCAAAACCCAGAACACUGACACCAAAUACUCUUGAGGAUGUGGAGCAAUUCUCAUUGCUGAUGGGAAUGCAAAAUGGUACAGUCUUUUGGAAGACAGCUUGGAGGUUUCUUAUAAAGCUAAACUUGGAUUUACCAUACCAUCUACCAGCAGUGCUCCUUGGUAUUUACCCAGUGGAGCUGAAAAUGUAUGUCCCCACAGAAAAACAGGCACGUGGACGCUUACAGAAGUUUUACACAUAAUUUCCAAGACUUGGAAGCAACCAAGAUGUCCUUCAGUCGGUGAAUGGAAGAAUAAACUGUGGAACAAUCAGACCAUGGAAUAUUAUUCAGUGCUGAAUAGAAAUGAGCUAAGAAAGCCAUAAAAAAA